Molecule: long non-coding RNA, 654 nt
Organism: Canis lupus familiaris (dog)
Lineage: Eukaryota; Metazoa; Chordata; Mammalia; Carnivora; Canidae
Exons: 3
Source: RefSeq, a predicted model, not a curated record
AAGCCCGAUGUGGGACUCGAUCCCGGGACUCCAGGAUCGGGCCCCGGGCCAAAGACGGCACCAAACCGUUGGGCCACCAGGGCUGCCCUUAAUAUAACUUUUUAAAAUAGUAAUAAUCAUUCUCUUCUGAAAUUAGCUUUCAUUCCUAUUAGUACUUUUAAAUUACCUAACCUAAGUCUGUGAUCUAUUUCUAAUUCUUUUGGUCCUCGGGAGAGAGGUGAGGUCAUUUCCUGGCAUGGGAAGGACUGUGUGAAUGGGCUGCUGGGAUCCACGCACAGGCUUUGCUGCGUCUCUGUCUCUGCCUUCACUGAGCACAGCUUGCUGCAGGCGGGACACCCUACCUCACGUGGUUCUCGGGGCUCUGGCUCUGGGCAAAGAGCUUCCAGGCGAGGAACCAGAAGGAAGAACAUUGGAUCAGGGCUGAAGACCAGGGCUCACCUUCUAUUUCCAGGACCUGGUUAGCUGUGAGACCUAAGUAUUUGAGCAUUCCCAUAGCUUUUCAUCCUUGCUCUCUCAGCGGUCAUUACUGGAUGGAACAGAGAAGAAGUGCGCGGUGACUCGCACAGAAGAGGUGCGAGUGGUUGGAUCAACUCCGCAGACUGGAAAUUGAAGCCCUUUAAGGAAAAGGACAAAUGUCUGUGGAAUAAAAUCCAA